GGAGGUCUGGCUCAGUGGUAGAACGUCUGCUUGGCUUGCAGAAGGUCCCAGGUUCAAUCCCCAGCAUCUCAA
Molecule: transfer RNA, 72 nt
Filed under: Sphaerodactylus townsendi
Lineage: Eukaryota; Metazoa; Chordata; Lepidosauria; Squamata; Sphaerodactylidae
Description: tRNA-Ala
Source: RNAcentral